AAAUUGAAUAGGCAAACCUAGAGAAAUUUAGGGACGCAAAGCUAGAGGGGCUAAGGUUGAAAAACUAUGCCAGCCAGUUGCCAAA
Molecule: regulatory RNA element, 85 nt
Organism: Viridibacillus arenosi FSL R5-213
Lineage: Bacteria; Bacillati; Bacillota; Bacilli; Caryophanales; Caryophanaceae
Rfam family: c-di-GMP-I riboswitch aptamer
About the family: GEMM was predicted in a large-scale screen for bacterial structured RNA regulatory elements. Genes associated with GEMM are involved in a diverse array of functions, including chemotaxis regulation, signal transduction, secretion and chitin.
Source: Rfam